GAUGAACGCUGGCGGCGUGCCUAAUACAUGCAAGUCGAGCGAACAGACGAGGAGCUUGCUCCUCUGACGUUAACGGCGGACGGGUGAGUAACACGUGGAUAACCUACCUAUAAGACUGGGAUAACUUCGGGAAACCGGAGCUAAUACCGGAUAAUAUAUUGAACCGCAUGGUUCAAUAGUGAAAGACGGUUUUGCUGUCACUGAUAGAUGGAUCCGCGCCGCAUUAGCUAGUUGGUAAGGUAACGGCUUACCAAGGCAACGAUGCGUAUCCGACCUGUGAGGGUGAUAGGACCCACUGGCACCGAGACACGGUCGAGAAUCCUACGGGAGGAAGCAGUAGGGAGUCUUCCGCACUGGGCGAAAGUCUGCCGGAGCAACGCCGCGUGAGUCAUGAAGGUCCUCGGAUCGUAAAACUCUGUUAUUAGGGAAGAACAAAUGUGUAAGUAACUAUGCACGUCUUGACGGUACCUAAUCAGAAAGCCACGGCUACCUCCGUC
RNAcentral lists this ribosomal RNA (497 nucleotides) under uncultured bacterium. Its description in RNAcentral is "partial 16S ribosomal RNA". It matches the Rfam family "Bacterial small subunit ribosomal RNA", at positions 28 to 507 of the family's 1533-position model. The record is from RNAcentral.